This 1001-nucleotide long non-coding RNA is filed under the name Marmota monax (woodchuck). Lineage: Eukaryota; Metazoa; Chordata; Mammalia; Rodentia; Sciuridae. The record is from RNAcentral.
UUUAGAGAAGAUGAAACAAUAUUGACAAAAAGUUAAAACUAAGGAAAGAUUCCAGGACUUAACAAGUUUAAGAUCUUCAUAAAUCCUUGACUUUCAAAGAUAAUUGACCAUAACUAUCUUGUAGGGCAACAAAUAACACCUGAGUAACAGAGAUAAAGUGAGGAUGUGUGCCACCCAUAUCCUCCAUAGUUCAAAUAAUUAGUUUUGCUUUCAUAAAAAAAAAACAAUUUUCUAAGUUGUUCAAAGAGAUUAAUUUGUUGAAUAAUUAUAGAUUAAAAAAAAAAAAAAACCCCUUUUGAGAAACCUAUACUUUAAAUGUAUGCCUGAUGCUUCUCCAAGACCCAGGUAUGUAUGUAUUGACCCCACUCCCUGAUUCAUCGGAAUUCAAUAAAUACAUGUCUUUUCCUCUAAAUGAAGGGCAUAGGCUCAGAGUAGCAUCUGAAUUUUGACCAUAAUUCUGCAAAGAAAUCGUACAUGGCAAAUAUAGCUGCACUUACUUGAAUCAGCAAUGCAUGAUUUAAUGUUUUAACUAUUUAGGUACAUAAUCAGAGUCUCUCACAGAAGAAGGUACUAUUUAUCUUCUCUUUUUAAAGAGUAGAUGAGGAUACUCAACAGAAAAAUCCUUGCUUGAAAUUCUUUAGUAAUUCCCAAAGCAGAAUAAAUGUAUAAAAUGAGAUUAGGUCAUGAAACAUUUUUUAUGUUUAAAUUCUCAUCUCUAAACACCUCUAUUAACAGCAGAUUUGAGUUGUGACCAUCCUCCUAAUAAAAAAUGAAAUCUCUAAGAUUGAGAAACAUUUGUAAAUAAUGGAUCCUUUAAAUAUCCCUGAACUUUAUUCUAAAACUUAUAAGGAGAAAUAAUAAUUGCUUUAUAUAACCACUGAUACCAUUUUAGCAUUUGAUGAAGAUGUUAAUUUAUGGUUGGUUAGCAGUUUAUGGCUGUCAUUAGUUUUUCAGUUUGGUCCACAUUAGAAAUCUAUUUUUCUUUUUUAUUUUAAUUUGAG